UUAUAUUCAGAUUGUAUCGAUAUAUAGUAUAGGAAAUUGUUAAAGGUCGAUUAGGCGAAUUGGCAUUACUUUUAACUAUGCCAUGUGAUGUACAUUUUUUUCGAGACAAUUGAUAUUUAAAUCGUGGGUAGGGAUAGAACAGAGAUCUGUUAUCCGCUGGGUGAAUUGGCGGUAUGAUUCAAUUCUUGUUUCAUUCGAUCCUUUUAUCAUUUGUAUAUCUGUGUUAAUUAAUGUCUAGUUUGGGAAAUUUUAUUUUUCUAUGGAGUAUGAAGAUUGUUUUCGUCUCGUCAAUCUAAUUGUUUAAAAAUUGUACGAUAUACUGUGGUCAAUAUGAGUGACGCGUUUCACGUUUAUUUCUUCUCUUCCUCUUUAGUAAAACUUUUCUUUGGGAGAAGAAAAUUGGAAUACGUUUUACAUAACGAAAUUUGUCAUUUCAUAAAAUACGAAGAAA
Long non-coding RNA from Bombus impatiens (common eastern bumble bee), 451 nucleotides. RefSeq lists it as uncharacterized. The transcript has 2 exons. The record is from RefSeq and is a predicted model, not a curated record. Lineage: Eukaryota; Metazoa; Arthropoda; Insecta; Hymenoptera; Apidae.